Molecule: ribosomal RNA, 467 nt
Filed under: uncultured bacterium
Lineage: Bacteria
Description: partial 16S ribosomal RNA
Rfam family: Bacterial small subunit ribosomal RNA
Source: RNAcentral
GAUGAACGCUGGCGGCGUGCUUAACACAUGCCAGUCGAACGGAAAGGCUCCUGCUUGCAGGGGUACUCGGGUGGCGAACGGGUGAGUAACACGUGGGUGAUCUGCCCUGCACUUCGGGAUAAGCCUGGGAAACUGGGUCUAAUACCGGAUAGGACCACAUUUUGGAUGGUGUGGUGGAAAGUUUUUCGGUGUGGGAUGAGCUCGCGGCCUAUCAGCUUGUUGGUGGGGUAAUGGCCUACCAAGGCGUCGACGGGUAGCCGGCCUGAGAGGGUGUACGGCCACAUUGGGACUGAGAUACGGCCCAGACUCCUACGGGAGGCAGCAGUGGGGAAUAUUGCACAAUGGGCGCAAGCCUGAUGCAGCGACGCCGCGUGGGGGAUGACGGCCUUCGGGUUGUAAACUCCUUUCGCUAGGGACGAAGCGCUUUUGUGACGGUACCUGGAGAAGAAGCACCGGCUAACUACGUG